CACGUAGGGUGCGAGCGUUGUCCGGAAUUAUUGGGCGUAAAGAGCUCGUAGGCGGUGUGUCGCGUCGGCCGUGAAAACCUGCAGCUUAGCUGUGGGCGUGCGGUCGAUACGGGCAUCACUGGAGUUCGGCAGGGGAGACUGGAAUUCCUGGUGUAGCGGUGAAAUGCGCAGAUAUCAGGAGGAACACCGGUGGCGAAGGCGGGUCUCUGGGCCGAUACUGACGCUGAGGAGCGAAAGCGUGGGGAGCGAACAGG
Molecule: ribosomal RNA, 254 nt
Filed under: uncultured bacterium
Lineage: Bacteria
Description: partial 16S ribosomal RNA
Rfam family: Bacterial small subunit ribosomal RNA
Source: RNAcentral